UGUUGCCAGCAGCUAGCUCUCUGCAACACUCACACGGGUUGCCCACUGAAGAUAAGCAGGAGCGCUUGCCAGGCCAGUACUUGGAUGGGAGACCACAUGGGAAAGCUAGACUGACACCGG
This 120-nucleotide ribosomal RNA is filed under the name Danio rerio (zebrafish). Lineage: Eukaryota; Metazoa; Chordata; Actinopteri; Cypriniformes; Danionidae. The record is from RNAcentral.